GGGGUUGUGACUCAGCGAUAGAGCGCUCAACUAGCACGUGCGAGGUGCUGGGUUCAAUCCUCAGCACCACA
Molecule: transfer RNA, 71 nt
Filed under: Marmota monax (woodchuck)
Lineage: Eukaryota; Metazoa; Chordata; Mammalia; Rodentia; Sciuridae
Description: tRNA.Ala
Source: RNAcentral